AAACAAAUUACGUACUGGAUCGCGUCACAUGAAAUGCACCCGCUAUCCUAAAUAUAUUAUGUUUAACAUUUUAAAAUUUGAUUUGGAUCACAUAAAAUGAACACCUGAGUUUAGGAAUGUAUAAAAGCACGCCUAAAAAGAUUAACGCGUUAUUAUUUUUGGAAGGGCCGUAAAAUUCGCUAAAUGGCCUAUCCCGAAUUCUACAUAUUCUUAUUAUAGCCAUUUAUUGAGGGCCCCGCAAUUUUAUAUUUUUGUUUGGCGAGGGUUGUCUCGUUUCAUUUUAAAAAGGGAAAACCUACAAACAACAAUGAUUUUCUAUAUAUUUUAUUCGUCUCUAAAAGAAAAGGAAAUCCUAAUUAAUCAAAGGGUUGAAGAAUUACUUAAUCAAAUGAUGCAAGAGGGCAGGGAGUCUUAGCUGAAAAGCCAUGGUGGCUAUUUGGGCUUGGCAAUCGAGCACAGCAAGACAAACCCUCAUGUUCAACUUAUAGCUCACAUAAGCUAAAUCACGGACGUUGGAAGUUCGAUUUCUUUCAGUUAUAAAAAAAUGCAGUUGAUCACUAAUUAAGAUCCAACUUGCCAAGACAAUGUAUUAUUCAAAUUAGUUGGGUGUUUUCCUGAUUCCUUUAUCAAACUCCGGGUGACAAUCCAAUACAAAUCAAAUGUUCCAAAAGACCAAAAUAAUGUUGAUUCCUUACAAAUUCCAGUUGCUUGUAUUUUUACUCAUCUAAUUUACGAACAUGUAUAAUGUGAAGAUAAUAGUGCAACCGGUUUCUAGUCCGAUUUAUACUUAGUUUUGAAUGUCUAAACUGACAAACUCUCUAAGUAAACUACAACUCACAUGUUAAUACUCGUUUUAAUGUCUUUCGAACAGUUCUCAAGUUAACAAAUACACUGAUAGGGAUUUUACAACUAUAACUCACAGUCCACUGAAUACAAUUUACAAAAUCCUUGAAGCUAUUCAAAUCUCAAUGGCUAUACAAUUAUAGAGUUUGAUAUAUUACUACAAAUUGACAGUCCAACUGACUCAAUUACAGUCCAAUGAAUAUAAUAACAAUUCAAGGUUUGAAUAUCAUCAACGAACUGAUGCUCGAAUAGACCAUUCAGAAAUUGAAACCAAAUCAAAUUUCAUGCUUUGUUUGUCACAUAAAUUCAUUCUUUAGUUCAUAAUCCUCAAGGACAAAGGUGUGUACCUGGUAUUAGCAGCAAAAACAGUUGAUCACAGGUAGUCCAGGAAGAGCUCAGCGCUCAAAAAUGAUUUAAAACCAAACACAAAAUAACAAAUCAACCCAUACAGCACCCCAAUGAACACAAAUGAAACCAUCCCUCAACAAAAUCAGCAAAUAACCAACAAUCCAUCUCAAACUAAACAGAUUCCAUGCAAACUAGCUCAAAACUGCUUUCCAAUUGCAAUAUCGACAUAACAAAGAAUUUUGAAUUGCUUUUGGAUUCAAAGUAAGCUGGUAGCAAUGCAACAAUACUUUUAUGUUUUUCUAUAACGUGUCUAUGUAUUUUUUUUGGAUAUUUUCUACUGAAUUUUUCUGUUUUUUUUUGUAUUUUCUUUUAGAACUAAGAACCAGAUAAGACUUGAAUAUGAAAUUUGAAUUUCAUAUCUGAAACUGGAAGAGCAUUUUNNNNNNNNNNNNNNNNNNNNNNNNNNNNNNNNNNNNNNNNNNNNNNNGGGGGGGUGAGGGGAUUUUGGAGGUCUAAACUUCCUCAACAAGGCAUUAUUCUUGCCUUUUAUAGGUCAAAGGAGGGGCAACCUUCACAUUUGUAUUUUGCCUAUUGGUCCCUCCAUUUUUACUCAGUUAGCCUCUUAUUUUUUAACUUGUGACAUAAGUUAGUACCUCUAUCUUUUGAAUUUCUCUUAAAACUCUCACCUAAAAGCUUCUAAGAUGGUAUACUUCAACCACUUGCAAGAUUCCCCCAUGUGAGCUCCCUAUUCUGCCCUUACCCUUUCCGCUGAAUUACCAAGUUCAGUCAUCUAUCCCAUAACCCCUUUUAACCUAGAUAAACUGACCCAAACCCUUAGUUAAAAAUCAACUAUAGCCAAACAGAUCUUAAACUACUACUAAUCUAACUAACAUGAUCAUCUAGUAAAUCUAAUAAACAUAGAACGAUUAUCAAAAUAAGACUUCUAACUACAACAAUAUAAUCACUAACGAAACCACAAAAAUAACAAAAAAUAAAUUGAAAUAAGAAUUUAACAUACAAAGGCAUCAAUUAAUCAGGACAAACAUAUUAAUCAAAAGAAAAAAAUCUACUGAAUUAAGAUGAAUAACUAAGCUUAAAAACUUAAAAUCAAACAUUGAAACAAGAACAAAAAAUAAGCAUGAAGAAGAAAAGACUCACUGGCCAAUUUGGAAUCAAUAUUCGACUGACUUUAGUUGAGUUCGAGGGCCACUGACAUUGAAUUCACCAUGCGGGAAGCACAGAGACUUGGGUGUGUUAAUUUGAAGCCGAUUGAAUGAAUUGGAGUUUUUGACUGCGUUUGGAUUUGAAAUUCGAAGGAUUAGGACAUGUUUUGAGGCAGGCUAUUUACAUAUUGGUGAUGAGGAGACUGAGGCGGUGCAAUGGUGUAAUUUUGGAGGCCAUUGGGUGGUGGCGCCGCCAUGGGCGGCGGACAUGACAAAACCUUUUUGACUAUUCGAGAGGUUUCAAUGGGAUCCGAGAUGAGAUAGUGGUAGAUUCAUGACGGGGACAGUGAGGCGGUAUAAGGGUGUGAAUUUGAGAGCUACCGCAGAUGGUGGCGUUUUCGCCAGCGACAGAGGCAUAGGCAUUACAGAGGGGUACGAGGAAGAGAGACUAGUCUCUAGGGUUAAUGAAAAAUUUUAGACAGUUUUAUUAAAUAACUGAGAACGAAUCCUAGCCAUCGGAUUAAAUUAACGAACGACCUAGAUUAAAUGAUGAUGAAACGACAUCGUUUUUAAUGAAGGGCAUGCCAG
RNAcentral lists this long non-coding RNA (2942 nucleotides) under Nicotiana benthamiana. Its description in RNAcentral is "long non-coding RNA (NBEN_LNC010792)". Lineage: Eukaryota; Viridiplantae; Streptophyta; Magnoliopsida; Solanales; Solanaceae. The record is from RNAcentral.